RNAcentral lists this ribosomal RNA (345 nucleotides) under Triticum aestivum (bread wheat). Its description in RNAcentral is "partial small subunit ribosomal RNA". The record is from RNAcentral. Lineage: Eukaryota; Viridiplantae; Streptophyta; Magnoliopsida; Poales; Poaceae.
UCUGGACAAGCGUCGUUGUGUUGGAUAUCUUGGGACAAGCUGACAGUGCCGAAGCAAGGGGGAAUUGGAUUUCGAGACCCUCAUUGGUUCAAUCUUGCCAUGUUAGGCAAACAGGGCUGGCGACUGCUAACAAAUCCCAACUCAUUGUGUGCUCGGGUGCUCAAGGGGAGAUAUUACCCACACACGGAUUUCCUUCAGGCCACGGUACCGACUCGAGCCUCGGCGACAUGGAAAGCGAUAGUGGCGGGCCGGAAGGCACUGGAGGCUGGCUUAAUUUUCCGGGUUGGGGAUGGCUCCACGAUUUCUAUCUGGACAUACCCGUGGAUACCAAAUACAAUAUCAUAG